AUGAUCUUGCGGGGAGGAGGAGAGAGGAGCAUUAGCUAUGGUUUUAAGUCCUGGCUGAACUGGCGGGGGUUACAUGACCUCAGACGCAGGGAUAAGCAAGCAAGCCCUUGCCCCGGGAAGGGCUACGAUGCCUUUCAACACCCACACGUCUCUGUUGAGCUCAUCAACACCCUUUGUGCAGAGGAUGUGCCUGCUUCUCCUUCACCUUCUACCAUGAUUGUAAGUUUCCUGAGGCCUUCCCAGCCAUGCAGAACCGACUCACCGGCAGCUGUUCUCCCCAUCCGUGUGCAGGGAUGUCUCGGCCCGUCGAAGACCCAGGCGGGCAAAGGAGUGGUACAAGGUGUGGGGAGGGGUGGAGGAAGAAGCCACCAGCCUGGCUUGGAGGGAGCAGAGCCGGAAGGGGUGCCCAUUUUGGGGCCACUCUUAGGGCUCAUGGUAAGUGGAUGACCAUUCCCCACCCUCCUGCUCUGCCC
Molecule: long non-coding RNA, 473 nt
Filed under: Papio anubis (olive baboon)
Lineage: Eukaryota; Metazoa; Chordata; Mammalia; Primates; Cercopithecidae
Description: lncRNA (ENSPANG00000040898.1)
Source: RNAcentral